UACAGGGGGGGCAAGCGUUGUUCGGAAUUACUGGGCGUAAAGGGUUCGUAGGUGGCCAACUAAGUCAGACGUGAAAUCCCUCAGCUUAACUGGGGAACUGCGUCUGAUACUGGAUGGCUUGAGUGUAGGAGAGGAAUGCGGAAUUCCAGGUGUAGCGGUGAAAUGCGUAGAUAUCUGGAGGAACACCGGUGGCGAAGGCGGCAUCCUGGACCGGCAUUGACGCUGAGGCGCGAAAGCCAGGGGAGCAAACGGG
This 253-nucleotide ribosomal RNA is filed under the name uncultured bacterium. RNAcentral describes it as "partial 16S ribosomal RNA". It matches the Rfam family "Bacterial small subunit ribosomal RNA", at positions 524 to 776 of the family's 1533-position model. The record is from RNAcentral.